GUACUAUAAAAUCAUCAAACUAUAUCAUAUUUCAUACAUGCAAGGAGAUAAAAAAAUAUGGUUAAAACUCUCAAGUUUGUGUAUUAUAUGAUUUUAUUUCUAUCCCUUUUUCUUUUUAUAAAGAAUGUUGAUGGCGCAUUUGUUAAAUGUGAAACUGAUGAUGAUUGUCCAAAAUAUAAUGGGUUUCGCAAGUAUGAGUGCGUUAACAAUUGGUGUAGAUUAACUGGACUGCACUGAUGAUUGCAUGAGUCCUAGACCAAGAAAGUAUAAUUAUGCCUUGCAGGGAAGAGUAAUUCCGUAUACUGGAAAAAAAAAAAAUCUAUGAAAUAUAACUUACACUAGAACGUUAUGUAAUUUGAAUUUAUAUAUUGGGUGAAUAUUGCUUUACCCUAAUAAUAUAGGUCAUUUUUGAUUUUCCUUCCUGUAAUUUUUUUAUUUUUAAAUUUCAUCCUUAUAUAAUUUGAAGAUUUUUUUUGUUUUGGACCUUCAUGGAAAA
Molecule: long non-coding RNA, 496 nt
Organism: Medicago truncatula (barrel medic)
Lineage: Eukaryota; Viridiplantae; Streptophyta; Magnoliopsida; Fabales; Fabaceae
Exons: 2
Source: RefSeq, a predicted model, not a curated record